GCGCCCAUAGUGAAGUGGAUAUCACAAUGGUCUUCGGAACCAUUAUGGAGGGUUCGAGUCCUUCUGGGCGCACCA
RNAcentral lists this transfer RNA (75 nucleotides) under Clostridia bacterium. RNAcentral's name for it is "tRNA-Arg". It matches the Rfam family "tRNA". Rfam says of the family: Transfer RNA (tRNA) molecules are approximately 80 nucleotides in length. Their secondary structure includes four short double-helical elements and three loops (D, anti-codon, and T loops). Lineage: Bacteria; Bacillati; Bacillota; Clostridia. The record is from RNAcentral.